This 549-nucleotide ribosomal RNA is filed under the name uncultured bacterium. RNAcentral's name for it is "bacterial SSU rRNA". It matches the Rfam family "Bacterial small subunit ribosomal RNA", at positions 356 to 896 of the family's 1533-position model. The record is from RNAcentral.
GGGGAAUCUUCCGCAAUGGACGAAAGUCUGACGGAGCAACGCCGCGUGAGUGGUGACGGCCUUCGGGUUGUAAAGCUCUGUUAAUCGGGACGAAAGGCCUUCUUGCGAAUAGUUAGAAGGAUUGACGGUACCGAAAUAGAAAGCCACGGCUAACUACGUGCCAGCAGCCGCGGUAAUACGUAGGUGGCAAGCGUUGUCCGGAAUUAUUGGGCGUAAAGCGCGCGCAGGCGGAUUGGUCAGUCUGUCUUAAAAGUUCGGGGCUUAACCCCGUGAUGGGAUGGAAACUGCCAAUCUAGAGUAUCGGAGAGGAAAGUGGAAUUCCUAGUGUAGCGGUGAAAUGCGUAGAUAUUAGGAAGAACACCAGUGGCGAAGGCGACUUUCUGGACGAAAACUGACGCUGAGGCGCGAAAGCCAGGGGAGCGAACGGGAUUAGAUACCCCGGUAGUCCUGGCCGUAAACGAUGGGUACUAGGUGUAGGAGGUAUCGACCCCUUCUGUGCCGGAGUUAACGCAAUAAGUACCCCGCCUGGGGAGUACGACCGCAAGGUUG